GAGGAAACUCCACCCAUCAUACAGAACCGUGAUGCCAGCAGGCAUCUGCUGAGAAGCAGGACACUGGAGCAGAAACGAUAUGUUUUCUAAUGGACGAACAUGAUGCUUAAAUGCUGAUGGACAUUAGAAAAAUACAGUGAAACGGCUAUUCCACGGGAUGCAAGGACAAAUACUGUUUAUGGAUCCUGUAUGAAACAGAGGUAGUCCGCAAAGAUGAAUGCUGCUAAAACAGAAGGUGGGUUA
RNAcentral lists this RNase P RNA (243 nucleotides) under uncultured archaeon SL-C. RNAcentral's name for it is "partial RNase P RNA". It matches the Rfam family "Archaeal RNase P", at positions 35 to 276 of the family's 288-position model. From Rfam's summary of the family: Ribonuclease P (RNase P) is a ubiquitous endoribonuclease, found in archaea, bacteria and eukarya as well as chloroplasts and mitochondria. The record is from RNAcentral.